GCUUCUCAAGAGCUGUUGG
This 19-nucleotide small nuclear RNA is filed under the name Arabidopsis thaliana (thale cress). RNAcentral's name for it is "snRNA_17339". The record is from RNAcentral. Lineage: Eukaryota; Viridiplantae; Streptophyta; Magnoliopsida; Brassicales; Brassicaceae.